GCUUAUAACAGCUUUCACAACUGUUGAUGCACGGGGCAGCCAUGUUGGAUUUUUAGCUCGGGGUACUCGGUGGUUGCCCGAGUCCCGAGCUCGGAAGUCCGAGGUCAGGGGCCGUGUUUCCGACUUUGACCUCCAGAAAAUCCGAGUUCCGACUACAAAUGGAACGCACUAUACGUACAAGAUAUCGGUGAUGAUUUGUGAUAAAAACAACAACCAAAACAGUGUUUACAUUACAGCGUGUGUCUCAGACAAUCAGUACUUUUACAUUUCUUCGCUGUCGGGCAGAAACCGUGUAUCUCUACAUUUCGUUUUUUCAUGAAUCAAUACCAUUGGUCACCCUUUACGUCUGGUAAACAUUGAAACAGUGACGAGGUGAUUUCAUCCGACUUUGUCGAAGGUAAACGGCUCAAUAAAAUGUUUUCAGUGUUUGUUUUUUCAUUGAGGCCAAGAUUAUUAUACAGACAGUAACGUAAUAGAAUCAGUGCUCAAUUUUUGUAAAGGGUGAAUUACGAUUACAAACACCAAUCUGUUUAUAGAACAUUUUGGUAAAAAAAAAAAAAAUACAGAAUUAAAACAAAGAACCCAAAUAAAAUGUUUUCUGAAAAUCAACGGUUUUGGACAUACAAGGUCUUCACCCGACAGCGACGAUUUAUGACGUUUGAAUUAAUGUUACAGGAAGAUUGUUGACUAUUUUCACCAUCAUUGAAUCCGCUGAUUAUUCUCUGGAUUAAUGGGUAAUAGUUUUGUGUUUAAAAUGUCGGAAAAAUGCCUGUUACAAUGUCCUGAAGCUCAAGUUGAUGUCUUAUAAAAAUGUCUUUUUUUUUUUUUUCUUUUUUGUCCGACCAAGAGUCCAAAACCCCAAAAAUAUUUCAAUUUACAAUCAUAGAAGAGAAAAGCCAGAAAAACUUUGGCAUUAGAGAAGCAGGAACCAGCGAUAUUUUGGCCGUUGAUUAAUAGAUAAAUCCUUUCAGCCGCUCAUCUGCUGACUUUUUGAAAACAUUUCUGAAAUCCUUGUAAGAUCGCUUUAUCUGGUUUUUAAGAAAGUAGAUUCAAACCAGUUUAACUCGCUGCGAUCAAAUAAAAAUGGGUCAACACUGUACUGUUACCCCAGUAGUUAACAUGUGUAACCAAUGUAGAUAUAUAAGAGGAGUUAUAGUUGACAAAUGCAUUAAUAGACACUUCAAAAUGUCUUCACAGCUGCUUACAACUACAUUCUAGUGGGUUAUAAAUGCUAAAUAAUACAAUUCAGGGUUUUCCCUGCCAUCAUAAAGUCUGAUUUCUGGUUGUGUGGAGGCUCCACGCAGAGCUUUCGCCGUAGCCUAUACGUAAGUGGCCUGAAGUUUAUACUUGUGCGUUGGUGUGUGCGUCUAGCCGGCGUGUGUGUGUGUGUGUGUGUGUGUGUGUGUGUGUGUGUGUUUGUUUGUUUGUUUGUUUGUUUGUUUGUGUGACGCUCCUGUUCAGCUGCCAUUUGAAAUCACAUGCGACGCUGAGAGGAUGAAAUGUUGAGUCCACCUUCCUGAUAAGCUAUACUCUGGAAAUCCUAAUCUUAUUUCAUGCAAUAACGAGCCGCUGUAAAACGUUUGAUGAGAACAGCAACCCAAAACCAACAAUUGUGUUAGUCCGUCUCUCCAAACUUUCUGACUUCUCAUCUCGGUUUGUUGCUUUCAGCUCCGAGCUCAUUGGUUCUUACUGAAGA
Molecule: long non-coding RNA, 1696 nt
Organism: Sander lucioperca (pikeperch)
Lineage: Eukaryota; Metazoa; Chordata; Actinopteri; Perciformes; Percidae
Exons: 3
Source: RefSeq, a predicted model, not a curated record